RNAcentral lists this ribosomal RNA (384 nucleotides) under uncultured archaeon. RNAcentral describes it as "bacterial SSU rRNA". It matches the Rfam family "Archaeal small subunit ribosomal RNA", at positions 345 to 728 of the family's 1478-position model. The record is from RNAcentral.
AACCUUUACAAUGCUGGCAACAGCGAUAAGGGGACCUCGAGUGCCACGAUACAAUCGUGGCUGUCUAGUUGCCUAAAAAGCAAUUGAUAGCAAGGGCCGGGCAAGACCGGUGCCAGCCGCCGCGGUAACACCGGCGGCUCGAGUGGUAACCGCUAUUAUUUGGUCUAAAGGGUCUGUAGCCGGCUUAGUCAGUCUUUUGAGAAAUCUGGCCGCUCAACGGUCAGGCGUUCAGGGGAUACUGCUAAAGCUCGAGACCGGGAGAGGUGAGAGGUACUUCAGGGGUAGGGGUGAAAUCUUGUAAUCCUUGAAGGACCACCAGUGGCGAAGGCGUCUCACCAGAACGGAUCUGACGGCAAGGGACGAAAGCUAGGGGCACGAACCGGA